GUGGGGAAUCUUGCGCAAUGGGCGAAAGCCUGACGCAGCCAUGCCGCGUGAAUGAUGAAGGUCUUAGGAUUGUAAAAUUCUUUCACCGGGGACGAUAAUGACGGUACCCGGAGAAGAAGCUCCGGCUAACUUCGUGCCAGCAGCCGCGGUAAUACGAAGGGGGCUAGCGUUGCUCGGAAUUACUGGGCGUAAAGGGCGCGUAGGCGGACAGCUUAGUCAGAGGUGAAAGCCCAGGGCUCAACAUUGGAAUUGCCUUUGAUACUGGCUGUCUUGAGUUUGGGAGAGGUGAGUGGAACUCCGAGUGUAGAGGUGAAAUUCGUAGAUAUUCGGAAGAACACCAGUGGCGAAGGCGACUCACUGGCCCAAUACUGACGCUGAGGCGCGAAAGCGUGGGGAGCAAACAGGAUUAGAAACCCUAGUAGUCC
Molecule: ribosomal RNA, 425 nt
Filed under: uncultured bacterium
Lineage: Bacteria
Description: partial 16S ribosomal RNA
Rfam family: Bacterial small subunit ribosomal RNA
Source: RNAcentral